GCUGGCGGCAUGCUUAACACAUGCAAGUCGAACGGUAACAGCAGGAGCUUGCUUCUGGCUGACGAAUGGCGGACGGGUGAGUAACGCGUGGGAACAUGCCUAUCAGUUGGGGACAACCUGUGGAAACGCAGGCUAAUACCGAAUACGUUCUACGGAAUAAAGGUGGCCUCUGCUUGCAAGCUAUCGCUGAUAGAUUGGCCCGCGUUGGAUUAGCUGGUUGGUGGGGUAAAGGCCUACCAAGGCGACGAUCCAUAGCUGGUUUGAGAGGAUGAUCAGCCACACUGGGACUGAGACACGGCCCAGACUCCUACGGGAGGCAGCAGUGGGGAAUAUUGGACAAUGGGCGCAAGCCUGAUCCAGCAAUGCCGCGUGUGUGAAGAAGGCCUGAGGGUUGUAAAGCACUUUCAAUAGUGAAGAAGGGUAACAGGCUAAUAACCUGUUGCAUUGACGUUAACUAUAGAAGAAGCACCGGCUAACUCUGUGCCAGCAGCCGCGGUAAUACAGAGGGUGCAAGCGUUAAUCGGAAUUACUGGGCGUAAAGCGCGCGUAGGUGGUUUGAUAAGUUGGAUGUGAAAUCCCCGGGCUUAACCUGGGUCGGUCAUUCAAAACUGUCAGACUAGAGUAUGGUAGAGGGUAGUGGAAUUUCUAGUGUAGCGGUGAAAUGCGUAGAUAUUAGAAGGAACACCAGUGGCGAAGGCGACUGCCUGGACUGAUACUGACACUGAGGUGCGAAAGCGUGGGUAGCGAACAGGAUUAGAUACCCUGGUAGUCCACGCCGUAAACGAUGAUAACUAGAUGUUGGGGUCCAUAGAGACUUUAGUAUCGAAGCUAACGCGUUAAGUUAUCCGCCUGGGGAGUACGGUCGCAAGAUUAAAACUCAAAGGAGUUGACGGGGGCCCGCACAAGCGGUGGAGCAUGUGGUUUAAUUCGAUGCAACGCGAAGAACCUUACCAUCCCUUGACAUCCUCAGAACUUGAUAGAGAUAUCUUGGUGCCUUCGGGAACUGAGAGACAGGUGCUGCAUGGCUGUCGUCAGCUCGUGUCGUGAGAUGUUGGGUUAAGUCC
RNAcentral lists this ribosomal RNA (1064 nucleotides) under uncultured Gammaproteobacteria bacterium. Its description in RNAcentral is "bacterial SSU rRNA". It matches the Rfam family "Bacterial small subunit ribosomal RNA", at positions 35 to 1087 of the family's 1533-position model. Lineage: Bacteria; Pseudomonadati; Pseudomonadota; Gammaproteobacteria. The record is from RNAcentral.